AAGGGAGACCUAAUUCAGGUAGGAGACGAAAAAGAAGUAGUCGCUACCAAGAAUCAAUCCCAAAAGGUCGGAGCGAGGCGAAAUUGGCUUUCAAACUAGGUUCUGGGUUCACACAAGACCUGAAUCAGGAACAAGGGCUAUUAGCUCAGGUGGUUAGAGCGCACCCCUGAUAAGGGUGAGGUCCCUGGUUCGAGUCCAGGAUGGCCCACCUGCACAGGUGGCAAAAACAAGAGAAGCGAGGAAUCAGCACCUUAUCUUAUCUAUAUAUAUAUAGGAGAGAAUGCUGGCUCUGAGUAAAGAGUCCAGAGGAACCUUGAAAACUGCAUAGAGCUAGGUGAAAAAGCCAAAAAAGAAGACCGCAAGGUCAAGCUAAUAAGGGCUAACGGUGGAUACCUAGGCAC
This 401-nucleotide transfer RNA is filed under the name uncultured Microcystis sp. Its description in RNAcentral is "bacterial LSU rRNA". The stretch from base 135 to 208 matches the Rfam family "tRNA". The record is from RNAcentral. Lineage: Bacteria; Bacillati; Cyanobacteriota; Cyanophyceae; Chroococcales; Microcystaceae.